UAGGGAAUCUUCGGCAAUGGACGAAAGUCUGACCGAGCAACGCCGCGUGAGUGAAGAAGGUUUUCGGAUCGUAAAACUCUGUUGUUAGAGAAGAACAAGGACGUUAGUAACUGAACGUCCCCUGACGGUAUCUAACCAGAAAGCCACGGCUAACUACGUGCCAGCAGCCGCGGUAAUACGUAGGUGGCAAGCGUUGUCCGGAUUUAUUGGGCGUAAAGCGAGCGCAGGCGGUUUCUUAAGUCUGAUGUGAAAGCCCCCGGCUCAACCGGGGAGGGUCAUUGGAAACUGGGAGACUUGAGAGCAGAAGAGGAGAGUGGAAUUCCAUGUGUAGCGGUGAAAUGCGUAGAUAUAUGGAGGAACACCAGUGGCGAAGGCGGCUCUCUGGUCUGUAACUGACGCUGAGGCUCGAAAGCGUGGGGAGCAAACAGG
This 429-nucleotide ribosomal RNA is filed under the name Chloroflexota bacterium. Its description in RNAcentral is "Chloroflexi bacterium partial 16S ribosomal RNA". It matches the Rfam family "Bacterial small subunit ribosomal RNA", at positions 355 to 776 of the family's 1533-position model. Lineage: Bacteria; Bacillati; Chloroflexota. RNAcentral also lists the same sequence under 1 other name. The record is from RNAcentral.